GGAGAGGUAGCGAAGUGGUUGGAACGCGGCGCACUCGAAAUGCGUUUACGGUAAUCCGUACAUGGGUUCGAAUCCCAUCCUCUCCGCCA
This 89-nucleotide transfer RNA is filed under the name Oscillospiraceae bacterium. RNAcentral describes it as "tRNA-Ser". It matches the Rfam family "tRNA". Rfam says of the family: Transfer RNA (tRNA) molecules are approximately 80 nucleotides in length. Their secondary structure includes four short double-helical elements and three loops (D, anti-codon, and T loops). The record is from RNAcentral. Lineage: Bacteria; Bacillati; Bacillota; Clostridia; Eubacteriales; Oscillospiraceae.